RNAcentral lists this long non-coding RNA (330 nucleotides) under Hordeum vulgare. RNAcentral describes it as "long non-coding RNA (HVUL_LNC007475)". The record is from RNAcentral. Lineage: Eukaryota; Viridiplantae; Streptophyta; Magnoliopsida; Poales; Poaceae.
AAAUAUCUUCAACACUCGGAAUAGAAAGAGAGAGGAAUGAAUAACAAGAUAGGCUCAUAAGAAUUCCCAACAUAGGAAAGAAUUACAAGGAUGAAUGGAUAAGAUGACACAGACAACUAAAUUAAAAUCACCGGAAAAAUAACAAGACUGAAUAAGGAUGAACAUGAAGCUCCUGAGAAUCUUCACAAUGAAUCACCGGGUAAGAGAGAACAGAACAGACAGCGGAAGCACCAUGAAAAGAAAACUCUUGGAUGAAAAUCCAAUCACUGAAAAAAGGGUGGAAGGGCGGGGAAAAACAAAGACGACUUGGAACAGAUGAGAUGAACUCCG